RNAcentral lists this ribosomal RNA (428 nucleotides) under uncultured prokaryote. Its description in RNAcentral is "bacterial SSU rRNA". It matches the Rfam family "Bacterial small subunit ribosomal RNA", at positions 355 to 774 of the family's 1533-position model. The record is from RNAcentral.
UGAGGAAUUUUGCGCAAUGGGCGCAAUCCUGACGCAGCAACGCCGCGUGGGUGAUGAAGGCCUUCGGGUCGUAAAGCCCUGUCAGGUGGGAAGAAUGUCCCGGGACUGAACAGGUAUCGGGAGUGACGGUACCACCAGAGGAAGCAGCGGCUAACUCCGUGCCAGCAGCCGCGGGAAUACGGAGGGUGCAAGCGGUAUUCGGAGUUAAUGGGCGUAAAGCGCGUGUAGGCGGCCCUGCAAGUCUGAUGUGAAAGCCCCGGGCUUAACCCGGGAAGUGCAUUGGAAACUGCAGGUCUUGAGUACUGGAGAGGAUGGUGGAAUUCCCGGUGUAGAGGUGAAAUUCGUAGAGAUCGGGAGGAAUAUCAGUGGCGAAGGCGCCCAUCUGGACGGUAACUGACGCUGAGGCGCGAAAGCGUGGGGAGCAAACA